CCUACGGGAGGCAGCAGUAGGGAAUCUUCCGCAAUGGACGAAAGUCUGACGGAGCAACGCCGCGUGAACGAUGAAGGCCUUCGGGUCGUAAAGUUCUGUUGUUAGGGAAGAACAAGUGCUAGUUAAAUAAGCUGGCACCUUGACGGUACCUAACCAGAAAGCCACGGCUAACUACGUGCCAGCAGCCGCGGUAAUACGUAGGUGGCAAGCGUUGUCCGGAAUUAUUGGGCGUAAAGCGCGCGCAGGCGGUUUCUUAAGUCUGAUGUGAAAGCCCCCGGCUCAACCGGGGAGGGUCAUUGGAAACUGGGAAACUUGAGUGCAGAAGAGGAAAGUGGAAUUCCAAGUGUAGCGGUGAAAUGCGUAGAGAUUUGGAGGAACACCAGUGGCGAAGGCGACUUUCUGGUCUGUAACUGACGCUGAGGCGCGAAAGCGUGGGGAGCAAACAGGAUUAGAUACCCUGGUAGUCCACGCUGUAAACGAUGAGUGCUAAGUGUUAGAGGGUUUUCCGCCCUUUAGUGCUGAAGUUAACGCAUUAAGCACUCCGCCUGGGGAGUACGGUCGCAAGACUGAAACUCAAAGGAAUUGACGG
Molecule: ribosomal RNA, 589 nt
Filed under: uncultured bacterium
Lineage: Bacteria
Description: bacterial SSU rRNA
Rfam family: Bacterial small subunit ribosomal RNA
Source: RNAcentral